This 160-nucleotide ribosomal RNA is filed under the name uncultured bacterium. Its description in RNAcentral is "partial 16S ribosomal RNA". The record is from RNAcentral.
CACGUAGUUAGCCGGGGCUUUCUUCUCCUAUACCGUCACGCACAGGGCAGUUACUCCCCAUGCUGUUCGUCUAGGGCAACAGAGCUUUACGAUCCGAAAACCUUCAUCACUCACGCGGCGUUGCUCCGUCAGGCUUGCGCCCAUUGCGGAGGAUUCCCUA